AGCGAACGUUAGCGGCGGGCCUAACACAUGCAAGUCGAACGGGCUGUAGCAAUACAGUCAGUGGCGCACGGGUGCGUAACGCGUAGAUAAUCUACCUCUCAGUGGGGGAUAACUAGGGGAAACUCUAGCUAAUACCGCAUAAGACCACGGAGUCUUCGGGCUUUGAGGGAAAAGGCGGCCUCUGAAUAUGCUGUCGCUGGGAGAUGAGUCUGCGUCCCAUCAGCUAGUUGGUGAGGUAAUGGCUCACCAAGGCAAAGACGGGUAGCUGGUCUGAGAGGAUGAUCAGCCACACUGGCACUGGAACACGGGCCAGACUCCUACGGGAGGCAGCAGUGGGGAAUAUUGGGCAAUGGGCGGAAGCCUGACCCAGCCACGCCGCGUGAGUGAUGAAGGCC
Molecule: ribosomal RNA, 395 nt
Filed under: uncultured bacterium
Lineage: Bacteria
Description: bacterial SSU rRNA
Rfam family: Bacterial small subunit ribosomal RNA
Source: RNAcentral